Molecule: ribosomal RNA, 486 nt
Filed under: uncultured bacterium
Lineage: Bacteria
Description: bacterial SSU rRNA
Rfam family: Bacterial small subunit ribosomal RNA
Source: RNAcentral
CACAUGCAAGCGAACGCGGAAAGGGACUUCGGUCUGAGUAAAGUGGCGCACGGGUGAGUAACGCGUAGAUAACCUGUCUUCAUGUCUGGAAUAAUACGCCGAAAGGGUACUAAUACCGGAUAUUCUUGCUUUUUCAUAAGUUACGCAAGCAAAGGUGGCCUCUGCAUAUGCUACUGCAUGAAGAGGGGUCUGCGUACCAUUAGCUAGUAGGUGGGGUAAUGGCCUACCUAGGCGACGAUGGUUAGCGGGUCUGAGAGGAUGAUCCGCCACACUGGCACUGGAACACGGGCCAGACUCCUACGGGAGGCAGCAGUGAGGAAUAUUGCGCAAUGGGGGAAACCCUGACACAGCGACGCCGCGUGAGUGGAGGAAGGCCUUCGGGUCGUAAAGCUCUGUCAAGAGGAAAGAAGUGUACAAUGGCUAAUACCUGUUGUAUUUGACGGUACCUCUAAAGGAAGCACCGGCUAACUCCGUGCCAGCCGCCGC